RNAcentral lists this ribosomal RNA (429 nucleotides) under Gemmatimonadota bacterium. RNAcentral's name for it is "Gemmatimonadetes bacterium partial 16S ribosomal RNA". It matches the Rfam family "Bacterial small subunit ribosomal RNA", at positions 355 to 776 of the family's 1533-position model. Lineage: Bacteria; Pseudomonadati; Gemmatimonadota. The record is from RNAcentral.
UAGGGAAUCUUCGGCAAUGGACGAAAGUCUGACCGAGCAACGCCGCGUGAGUGAAGAAGGUUUUCGGAUCGUAAAACUCUGUUGUUAGAGAAGAACAAGGACGUUAGUACAUGAACGUCCCCUGACGGUAUCUAACCAGAAAGCCACGGCUAACUACGUGCCAGCAGCCGCGGUAAUACGUAGGUGGCAAGCGUUGUCCGGAUUUAUUGGGCGUAAAGCGUGCGCAGGCGGUUGCUUAAGUCUGGUGUGAAAGCCCCCGGCUCAACCGGGGAGGGUCAUUGGAAACUGGGAGACUAGAGUGCGGAAGAGGAGAGUGGAAUUCCAUGUGUAGCGGUGAAAUGCGUAGAUAUAUGGAGGAACACCAGUGGCGAAGGCGGCUCUCUGGUCUGUAACUGACGCUGAGGCUCGAAAGCGUGGGGAGCAAACAGG